This is a non-coding RNA of Camellia sinensis, 293 nucleotides long. The record is from RefSeq and is a predicted model, not a curated record. NCBI's taxonomy places the organism in Eukaryota, Viridiplantae, Streptophyta, Magnoliopsida, Ericales, Theaceae.
UUAUAUUGGAAAUUCUUGACAAAGUUUACCUAGGAUCAGUAAACUGGAAGCAAGCAACAAAACCUCCCAUCAAGAUGCCUUUCAGAAAAGUUGAGAAUUGCAACCAAGCUAUACGGAUUGGAAAGGAAUUGAACUUCUCUCUUGUGAAUGUAGCAGGAAACGAUAUUGUAUAGGGAAACAAGAAACUCAUACUAGGAAGAGAACCUGUCAGCUAUGAAUACUGAUCCUUGGUAUUCUGCCUAUCACUAUUCUCAUCCUCCUUUGUUGAAAGACUUGCUGCAAUCGAUGAACUU